GAUGAACGCUGGCGGCGUGCCUAAUACAUGCAAGUCGAGCGAACAGACGAGGAGCUUGCUCCUCUGACGUUAGCGGCAGACGGGUGAGUAACACGUGGAUAACCUACCUAUAAGACUGGGAUAACUUCGGGAAACCGGAGCUAAUACCGGAUAACAUGUUGAACCGCAUGGUUCAACAGUGAAAGACGGUCUUGCUGUCACUUAUAGAUGGAUCCGCGCCGCAUUAGCUAGUUGGUAAGGUAACGGCUUACCAAGGCAACGAUGCGUAGCCGACCUGAGAGGGUGAUUGGCCACACUGGAACUGAGACACGGUCCAGACUCCUACGGGAGGCAGCAGUAGGGAAUCUUCCGCAAUGGGCGAAAGCCUGACGGAGCAACGCCGCGUGAGUGAAGAAGGUCUUCGGAUCGUAAAACUCUGUUAUUAGGGAAGAACAAAUGUGUAAGUAACUAUGCACGUCUUGACGGUACCUAAUCAGAAAGCCACGGCUAACUACGUG
This 497-nucleotide ribosomal RNA is filed under the name uncultured bacterium. Its description in RNAcentral is "partial 16S ribosomal RNA". It matches the Rfam family "Bacterial small subunit ribosomal RNA", at positions 28 to 507 of the family's 1533-position model. The record is from RNAcentral.